Molecule: ribosomal RNA, 253 nt
Filed under: uncultured bacterium
Lineage: Bacteria
Description: partial 16S ribosomal RNA
Rfam family: Bacterial small subunit ribosomal RNA
Source: RNAcentral
UACGUAGGGUGCAAGCGUUGUCCGGAAUUAUUGGGCGUAAAGAGCUUAUAGGCGGUUUGUCGCGUCUGCUGUGAAAUUUCGGGGCUCAACCCCGAACUUGCAGUGGGUACGGGCAGACUAGAGUGUGGUAGGGGAGACUGGAAUUCCUGGUGUAGCGGUGAAAUGCGCAGAUAUCCGGAGGAACACCGAUGGCGAAGGCAGGUCUCUGGGCCAUAACUGACGCUGAGAAGCGAAAGCAUGGGGAGCGAACAGG